AAUGAACGCUGGCGGCGUGCCUAAUACAUGCAAGUCGAGCGAACGGACGAGAAGCUUGCUUUUCUGAUGUUAGCGGCGGACGGGUGAGUACCACGUGGAUAACCUACCUAUAAGACUAGGAUAACUUCGAGCAGCCUGCGCUCAUACCUGAUCAUAUUUUGAACCGCAUGGGUCAAGAGUGAAAGCCGGUCUUGCUGUCACUUAUCGAUGGAUCCGCGCUGCAGUAUCUAGUUGGUAAGGUAACGGCUUACCAAGGCAACGCUUCAUAGCCGACCUGAGAGGGGGCUCGGCCACAGUGGAACUGAGGCACGGUCCAGACUCCUACGGGAGGUAGCAGUAGGGAAUCUGACGCAAUGGGCGAAAGCCUGACGGAGCACCGCCGCGUGAGUGAUGAAGGUCCUCGGAUCGUAAAAACCCGCUACUAGGGAAGCACAUAUGCGCAAUGAACUGCGCACAUCCUGACGGUACCCAAGCAGAAAGCUAGGGAUAAUUACGUG
RNAcentral lists this ribosomal RNA (497 nucleotides) under uncultured bacterium. RNAcentral describes it as "partial 16S ribosomal RNA". It matches the Rfam family "Bacterial small subunit ribosomal RNA", at positions 29 to 507 of the family's 1533-position model. The record is from RNAcentral.